UGAUCUAGCCGGAAAAACCGUGGAUCUGACUCGUUCGGCCAUGGAUGGCCAGGAAAAGUCCAUAGAUAGAAGUUUAGCCAAGACUGGACUAUAUCCCUUUGAGAUCUAUCCAUGAAAUCUUGAAAACAAGAAACCAGGAGACAUAGGAGACUGCUGCACAUCUGAAAAAAAGCCAUCAAGUCCAUGGAUUGGGUGAGGAUUUAAGGGGUUUAAGGUGGAUUUAGCUGGCGGUGGCUAGGGUUAGCCUUACGUUUUAGAGAGAGUUUGAGAGGAGGUGGGAUUCAAG
Molecule: long non-coding RNA, 286 nt
Filed under: Nicotiana benthamiana
Lineage: Eukaryota; Viridiplantae; Streptophyta; Magnoliopsida; Solanales; Solanaceae
Description: long non-coding RNA (NBEN_LNC040217)
Source: RNAcentral